UUCUCCUCACGCAACACAUAUUAUGUUGCUCGCAGGUGACUCCAUUUACAGAGAUAACAAAUCCCAACCAACAAACGGAGACAAUCGAUCAGAUGGAGUGGCGGUGACUUGGGUAGCAACGACAUCUAUUGGGCGACUUGGACAACAACAACAAUUUCACUGAAACUAAAGUCUGGGUCUUAUGGAUUGUGUGUCAACAAUUUCUAUAUCUUUCUUUUUAGCCAACUUUGCGGCCUUGUCCUUCCCCCAUUCCGAUUUCUUGCAUUUCCUAAUCAUUUCUCUCUCCUUCACCCUUCAUCUUCACAAGGGUUCGAGAGAUCUUCAAGCAGAGCUUUUUUAUAUUACAUUUCUUGAGGGGGAGACAAUCAGGGAAUGACUCUACUUCGACAAGUCUAGACGAGUCUUUGAGAGCGAGAUCAAAUAUAAGUAUCUACAGCUUAGUCAGAGCAACACUACUUUGUUGAGUUUAGUUACAUGAGUCAGAUAGAUACAUUGUUCAGUUCACUUAACGUGUAUUGUUGAGUUUUUUUUUUUUUUUUUAUGGUUUUUACUUUGUUCAUUUUAGAAAAUGAGUUUUUACUUUGUUCUUCUCAAUCACAUCGGUUAUAGCCUCUAUAUCACAAAUGAUCAACUUCAAGAAUACAAUUAAAUGGUUCAGCAUAAGUUCAAAGAAAUACAAAACAGUAACUCCAAUUUUUGUAAUGCCUACCCUAAAGCUAAUUA
This is a long non-coding RNA of Cucumis sativus (cucumber), 723 nucleotides long. RefSeq lists it as uncharacterized. The record is from RefSeq and is a predicted model, not a curated record. The transcript has 2 exons. Lineage: Eukaryota; Viridiplantae; Streptophyta; Magnoliopsida; Cucurbitales; Cucurbitaceae.